UUUUUGUCUUUUUCAUCAUACUCUUCCCCUUUUGUUUUUUUUUUUUUUUUUUGAGAUAGGUAGCACGCUACCCGCUUCGUUUAUUUUAUUUAGAAAUAAACUUAGUUGAAAAUGUGAAUCAACUAGGAUUCGAACUUGGUUCUCUGGUACCAACCACCAAGCCCUUUGCCACUUGCUCUAGGGAUGGUCGAGUCCUAGCGGAAGCCUAUCCAGGGACAC
RNAcentral lists this long non-coding RNA (219 nucleotides) under Ananas comosus (pineapple). RNAcentral describes it as "long non-coding RNA (ACOM_LNC019945)". Lineage: Eukaryota; Viridiplantae; Streptophyta; Magnoliopsida; Poales; Bromeliaceae. The record is from RNAcentral.